Dunckerocampus dactyliophorus (ringed pipefish) is the source of this 250-nucleotide long non-coding RNA. RefSeq lists it as uncharacterized. The transcript is spliced from 3 exons. The record is from RefSeq and is a predicted model, not a curated record. NCBI's taxonomy places the organism in Eukaryota, Metazoa, Chordata, Actinopteri, Syngnathiformes, Syngnathidae.
GCUGGCUGGAAGGCAGAUCAACGUGUCUGUUGCUGCUGACGAGCUUGAGUGCAUGUCCUCUCCAUAUAUUCCGCCACACUGCAGAGAUAACCCACGCAUGCAUGGAGAGAACAUGCAAACUCCACACAGAGAUGCCCAAAGGAGAUUCGAAACCAGAUCUUCACGAUCUCCUGACUGUGUGGACAACAUGCUAACCGCUAGGCCACUGUGCGGCCCCCCUAGAGUAACAAAUUAGCUUAAAGAUGCAUUG